CGGGGGGCAGCAGUGGGGAAUAUUGGACAAUGGGCGCAAGCCUGAUCCAGCAAUGCCGCGUGUGUGAAGAAGGCCUGCGGGUUGUAAAGCACUUUCAGUGGGGAGGAAAGUUUUGAGAUUAAUACUCUCGAAAAUUGACGUUACCCACAAAAGAAGCACCGGCUAACUCUGUGCCAGCAGCCGCGGUAAUACAGAGGGUGCGAGCGUUAAUCGGAAUUACUGGGCGUAAAGAGUGCGUAGGUGGUUUGAUAAGUUGGGUGUGAAAGCCCUGGGCUCAACCCAGGAACUGCAUCCAAUACUGUCAGACUAGAGUACAGUAGAGGAAAGUGGAAUUUCCGGUGUAGCGGUGAAAUGCGUAGAUAUCGGAAGGAACAUCAGUGGCGAAGGCGACUUUCUGGACUGAUACUGACACUGAGGCACGAAAGCGUGGGUAGCAAACAGGAUUAGAUACCCGAGU
This 457-nucleotide ribosomal RNA is filed under the name uncultured prokaryote. RNAcentral describes it as "bacterial SSU rRNA". It matches the Rfam family "Bacterial small subunit ribosomal RNA", at positions 342 to 791 of the family's 1533-position model. The record is from RNAcentral.